AGAGUUUGAUUCUGGCUCAGGACGAACGCUGGCGGCGUGCCUAACACAUGCAAGUCGAGCGGAGACAGUGAGUAGCUUGCUAUGAGCUGUUUUAGCGGCGGACGGGUGAGUAACGCGUGAGCAACCUUUCCCAGACAGGGGAAUAACACACCGAAAGGUGUACUAAUACCGCAUAAGACCACGGUUUCACAUGGAACUGGGGUAAAAGAUUUAUCGGUUUGGGGUGGGCUCGCGUCCGAUUAGGUAGUUGGUGAGGUAACGGCCCACCAAGCCGACGAUCGGUAGCCGACCUGAGAGGGUGAUCGGCCACAUUGGGACUGAGACACGGCCCAAACUCCUACGGGAGGCAGCAGUGGGGAAUAUUGGGCAAUGGGGGGAACCCUGACCCAGCAACGCCGCGUGGAGGAAGAAGGUUUUCGGAUCGUAAACUCCUGUCCUUGGAGACGAGUAGAAGACGGUAUCCAAGGAGGAAGCCCCGGCUAACUACGUGCCAGCAGCCGCGGUAAUACGUAGGGGGCAAGCGUUGUCCGGAAUAAUUGGGCGUAAAGGGCGCGUAGGCGGCUCGGUAAGUCUGGAGUGAAAGUCCUGCUUUUAAGGUGGGAAUUGCUUUGGAUACUGUCGGGCUUGAGUGCAGGAGAGGUUAGUGGAAUUCCCAGUGUAGCGGUGAAAUGCGUAGAGAUUGGGAGGAACACCAGUGGCGAAGGCGACUAACUGGACUGUAACUGACGCUGAGGCGCGAAAGUGUGGGGAGCAAACAGGAUUAGAUACCCUGGUAGUCCACACUGUAAACGAUGAAUGCUA
This 801-nucleotide ribosomal RNA is filed under the name uncultured bacterium. RNAcentral's name for it is "bacterial SSU rRNA". It matches the Rfam family "Bacterial small subunit ribosomal RNA", at positions 8 to 818 of the family's 1533-position model. The record is from RNAcentral.